Long non-coding RNA from Anolis carolinensis (green anole), 518 nucleotides. RefSeq lists it as uncharacterized. The record is from RefSeq and is a predicted model, not a curated record. The transcript is spliced from 4 exons. NCBI's taxonomy places the organism in Eukaryota, Metazoa, Chordata, Lepidosauria, Squamata, Anolidae.
GCGUCCCCCAUUCUGUAUCUUUGCAUUUCGUUUUUUUUGCCUACGUGGAGUAUCUUACAUUUGUCCCUGUUGAACUUCAUUUUAUUAGUUUCAGCCCAUCUCUCUAAUCUGUUAAAACCGUUUUGAAUUCUGCUCCUGUUUUCAGGAAUAUUGGCUAUCCCUCCCAAUUUGGUGUUAUCUGCAAACUUGAUUAUCAUGCCUUCUACCCUUCGUCUAAGUCAUUAAUAAAGAUGUUGAACAGAACUGGGCCUAGGAUGGAACCCUGUGGCACUCCACUCGUGACUUCUUUCCAGGAUGAAGAAGAUGCAUUGGAUUUUAUCUGUUUGCAUCAUCUGUCCAAGAGAAAUAAAAAGAACCCAUAGACAUCUGUUGUAUCUCUAAGAGGUGGAAAGAUUAUGUAUGAAACCAUCCAGCAAGACCUUGGUGACCUUUCAUCAGUACCUCAUGACGAAGGAAAUCCCCUCCAGCUGCGUUCUUGGGCAACAUCUCAAUCAUAAAGGAUUCACUCACCCACCAUC